Molecule: small RNA, 155 nt
Filed under: Citrobacter werkmanii
Lineage: Bacteria; Pseudomonadati; Pseudomonadota; Gammaproteobacteria; Enterobacterales; Enterobacteriaceae
Description: Enterobacterial sRNA STnc430
Rfam family: Enterobacterial sRNA STnc430
Source: RNAcentral
AAAUACAAUAUCCGUAAAUUCUGAAAAUAACAGAAAUGAAAUUCCAUUAAGUUAAUUAUUUUAGGAUUAUGCUCAAUUAGGGAGUGAAGCAAAAGCGUAGAUAUCCUGGAGCAAUCCUAUAAAAAAGCCGAUAUUAAUAUCGGCUUUUUUAUUUC